This 1015-nucleotide ribosomal RNA is filed under the name uncultured bacterium. RNAcentral's name for it is "bacterial SSU rRNA". It matches the Rfam family "Bacterial small subunit ribosomal RNA", at positions 353 to 1371 of the family's 1533-position model. The record is from RNAcentral.
AGUGAGGAAUAUUGGACAAUGGUCGGAAGACUGAUCCAGCCAUGCCGCGUGCAGGAUGACGGCCCUAUGGGUUGUAAACUGCUUUUAUACGGGAAGAAACGCACCUACGUGUAGGUGUCUGACGGUACCGUAAGAAUAAGGACCGGCUAACUCCGUGCCAGCAGCCGCGGUAAUACGGAGGGUCCGAGCGUUAUCCGGAAUCAUUGGGUUUAAAGGGUCCGUAGGCGGGCCUGUAAGUCAGGGGUGAAAGUUUGUGGCUCAACCAUAAAAUUGCCUUUGAUACUGCAGGUCUUGAGUCAUGGUGGGGUUGCCGGAACAUGUGGUGUAGCGGUGAAAUGCAUAGAUAUCACAUAGAACACCGAUCGCGAAGGCAGGUGACCAACCAUGUACUGACGCUGAUGGACGAAAGCGUGGGUAGCGAACGGGAUUAGAUACCCCGGUAGUCCACGCCGUAAACGAUGGAUACUAGCUGUGGGGACCUCGGUCUCCGUGGCCAAGCGAAAGUGAUAAGUAUCCCACCUGGGGAGUACGUUCGCAAGAAUGAAACUCAAAGGAAUUGACGGGGGCCCGCACAAGCGGUGGAGCAUGUGGUUUAAUUCGAUGAUACGCGAGGAACCUUACCAGGGCUUAAAUGCAGGCUGCAUGGGGUGGAGACAUCCCUUUCUUCGGACUGCCUGCAAGGUGCUGCAUGGUUGUCGUCAGCUCGUGCCGUGAGGUGUCAGGUUAAGUCCUAUAACGAGCGCAACCCCUGCCGUUAGUUGCCAGCAUGUAAAGAUGGGGACUCUAACGGGACUGCCGGUGCAAACCGUGAGGAAGGUGGGGACGACGUCAAAUCAUCACGGCCCUUACGUCCUGGGCCACACACGUGCUACAAUGGCCGGUACAGAGGGAAGCCACCCCGCAAGGGGGCGCGGAUCUAUAAAACCGGUCACAGUUCGGAUCGGGGUCUGCAACUCGACCCCGUGAAGCUGGAAUCGCUAGUAAUCGGAUAUCAGCCAUGAUCCGGUGAAUACGU